RNAcentral lists this long non-coding RNA (640 nucleotides) under Linum usitatissimum (flax). Its description in RNAcentral is "long non-coding RNA (LUSI_LNC003855)". Lineage: Eukaryota; Viridiplantae; Streptophyta; Magnoliopsida; Malpighiales; Linaceae. The record is from RNAcentral.
AAGAGUUAGCAGAGUUGGAGUCCGAAUUUUAGUAAGGAAGGUGCUUAUUUUAUAUCAGGCGCUUGAGCUCUUCAUUUAAAGUCCCGACAUCUUCCGCUCCUUCUUAACACCCUGUUCCUCAGCUCCUUCUUUGUUAGCAGAGAACACCUUUCACCAUUAUAAAAACGUGAAUUGCAGCAAGAAGUUAAGUACCCCGAAAGAAAAGGCCGGGAGAUUCACUAUUAUUACUAUUCGAAGAAAAGGCUCUCCUCCUGAGUGUUUACAACUGAACACUCACUAACUUUUUACAGCCCUGAAGUUCAAACCCAGAACUUCAGUACCUUGCUCUAUCUUUCCCUGAACUUUUGACUCAACACUUAUUAAUAGAGAAGUGAAUCGACUUUCAGCUACUCUGUCACUCGAGUUUCUUCAACGUCAAAAGUUCUUUUUUUCUUACUUGGGUCUGUCAUUUCCUUAUAAAGCUUCAGCCAGAUGACCGUCCACUUUGAUUUGCAGAGAUCUCUUUACCGUUGCUUGAUUGUUUGAUUUGGGCACUGCUGAUUUUGCUUCCUUUGAUUAAGUUUGAUUCUGUCUCUUGACUUUUGUUCUGCACAACUCAGAAACAAACUUUCCCCAAUUCUACUUUGGGCAAAAAAUAAUU